Molecule: ribosomal RNA, 393 nt
Filed under: Triticum aestivum (bread wheat)
Lineage: Eukaryota; Viridiplantae; Streptophyta; Magnoliopsida; Poales; Poaceae
Description: partial small subunit ribosomal RNA
Source: RNAcentral
AUGAGUAAUAUCUUUUAUGGUCAUGCACCCUUGAAGAGUGGUCUAUUUUUAUUAAAUCUUGAUAGUAGUGAUACACAUAUUCAUAAUAUUGAAGCCAAAAGAUGCAGAGUUGAUAAUGAUAGUGCAACUUAUUUGUGGCACUGCCGUUUGGGUCAUAUUGGUGUAAAGCGCAUGAAGAAACUCCAUUCUGAUGGACUUUUGGAAUCACUUGAUUAUGAAUCACUUGGUACUUGCGAACCAUGCCUCAUGGGCAAGAUGACUAAAACUCUGUUCUCCGGAAUAAUGGAGCGAGCAACAGAUUUAUUGGAAAUCAUACAUACUGAUGUAUGUGGUCUGAUGAAUAUUGAAGCUCGCGGCGGGUAUCGUUAUUUUCUCACCUUCACAGAUGAUUGA